This 319-nucleotide long non-coding RNA is filed under the name Mytilus galloprovincialis (Mediterranean mussel). The record is from RNAcentral. Lineage: Eukaryota; Metazoa; Mollusca; Bivalvia; Mytilida; Mytilidae.
CUGGACUGAUUAACAGUGACUUUAGAUCAAUACUGUCAUAUCUAAGUGAAAGAGCAAACAUGACAAACAGGAAAUUUAGCAAUGUACAAACUUGAUAUGACUAUAUUCUGAGAAAUGGCCUUGGUAUUUCAAACAUUUCCCAUUUAUACUGAAGCCUUUGAGAAGAGACAUGUUUUGAUCUGAGAUGUGUCAUGUUGUAUUAAAAACCUAUGUAUAAUCAAUAAUUCCCUGUAUCAAAUCAAUAAUGCUUUAAGCAUGAAUUAUCUCCCAUUUGCAGAGUUAUCUUCCUAUAAUUGGAAUACUUUAUGUAAACUUUUUG